UACGGAGGGGGCAAACGGUGCUCGGAAUCAUUGAGCGUAAAGCGCACGUAGUCGGCCUAGUAAGUUGGAUGUGAAAGCCCUCGGCUUAACCAAGGAAGUGCAUUCAAAACUGCUGGGCUUGAGUACAGGAGAGGGUCGCGGAAUUCUCGGUGUAGAGGUGAAAUUCGUAGAUAUCGGGAGGAACACCAGUGGCGAAGGGGGCGACCGGGACUGAUACUGACGAUGAGGGGGGAAAGCGUGGGGAGCAAACAGG
RNAcentral lists this ribosomal RNA (253 nucleotides) under uncultured bacterium. Its description in RNAcentral is "partial 16S ribosomal RNA". It matches the Rfam family "Bacterial small subunit ribosomal RNA", at positions 524 to 776 of the family's 1533-position model. The record is from RNAcentral.